RNAcentral lists this ribosomal RNA (899 nucleotides) under Lophodermium sp. Lantz 443 (UPS). RNAcentral's name for it is "mitochondrial SSU rRNA". It matches the Rfam family "Bacterial small subunit ribosomal RNA", at positions 1 to 1171 of the family's 1533-position model. The record is from RNAcentral. Lineage: Eukaryota; Fungi; Ascomycota; Leotiomycetes; Rhytismatales; Rhytismataceae.
GGGGAUGUAUAGUCCUCUUAUGAGGCUAGUUAUGUUAUGAUUGGGAAUGCAUCCUGGUGAGAUUACGAUUAUAAUAUAAUACCAACUACGUUGGAUAAAGUUCUAGAUAGAAUACUGAUCAUGACAAUUUUCUAUCUACAUGUCUUGACCAAAUUACGUGCCAGCAGUCGCGGUAAUACGUAGAAGACUAGUGUUAUUCAUCUUUAAUAGGUUUAAAGGGUACCUAGACGGUGAAAUCUAACCUUAAAUACGGAAAUAGUUUUACUAGAGUUUGAUAUGAGGAGGCGAGUAUUUACGGAGUAGAGUUGAAAUUCUUUGAUACCUUAAGGACUGGUAAAGGCGAAAGCAACCUCUUAUGUAAAAACUGACGUUGAGGGACGAAGGCUUGGAUAGCGAACAGGAUUAGAUACCCUAGUAGUCUUUGCAGAAAAUGAUGAAUGCCAUAGGCUAGAGUUUUAUUUGGUCUAUAAAUGAAAGUGUAAGCAUUCCACCUCAAGAGUAAUGUGGCAACGCAGGAACUGAAAUCAUUAGACCGUUUCUGAGAACAGUAGUGAAGUAUGUUAUUUAAUUCGAUAAUCCUCGAAAAACCUUACCACAACUUGAAUGAUGUCAUCAGUUCAGUUCAGUUCAGUUAUUACAACUAACUGCUUAUGAUAAAUGAAGAAGUGCAUUUAUUACAAUUAACUGCUUAUGAUAAAUGAACAAGUGCAUUUAUUACAAUUAACUGUAGAAGAUAAAUGAAGAAAUGCAUUUAUUAGGGUGAUGUUACAAGCGUUGCACGGUUGUCUUCAGCUAAUGUCGUGAGAUUUUGGUUAGUUCCAUAAAAUUAGCGUAAACCCCGGCUUUAUUUUUAAAUUAUUAUCAUAGAGCAGUUCAUCAUUAUAUUGAAUACAUGAUAA